ACGCACGCUGGCGGCGUGCUUAACACCUGCAAGUCGAACGGAAAGGCCCUGCUUUUGUGGGGUGCUCGAGUGGCGAACGGGUGAGUAACACGUGAGUAACCUGCCCUUGACUUUGGGAUAACUUCAGGAAACUGGGGCUAAUACCGGAUAGGAGCUCCUGCUGCAUGGUGGGGGUUGGAAAGUUUCGGCGGUUGGGGAUGGACUCGCGGCUUAUCAGCUUGUUGGUGGGGCAGUGGCUUACCAAGGCUUUGACGGGUAGCCGGCCUGAGAGGGUGACCGGCCACAUUGGGACUGAGAUACGGCCCAGACUCCUACGGGAGGCAGCAGUGGGGAAUAUUGCACAAUGGGCGGAAGCCUGAUGCAGCAACGCCGCGUGCGGGAUGACGGCCUUCGGGUUGUAAACCGCUUUCGCCUGUGACGAAGCGUGAGUGACGGUAAUGGGUAAAGAAGCACCGGCUAACUACGUG
This 467-nucleotide ribosomal RNA is filed under the name uncultured bacterium. RNAcentral's name for it is "partial 16S ribosomal RNA". It matches the Rfam family "Bacterial small subunit ribosomal RNA", at positions 29 to 507 of the family's 1533-position model. The record is from RNAcentral.